CUGGCAAGCCAGCUCCCACAGGGAAUUGUGGGGUUCACCAAAUCUGCGAUACAUCGAGAAACCUGUGGGAGCUGGCUUGCCAG
This 83-nucleotide non-coding RNA is filed under the name Pseudomonas sp. 29. Lineage: Bacteria; Pseudomonadati; Pseudomonadota; Gammaproteobacteria; Pseudomonadales; Pseudomonadaceae. The record is from RNAcentral.